CGUAAUUGAUAUCAUUAUCGCAAUAAAUUCCAGAAGUUAUCAUGAUAUAUUUUUAAGCCCAUAUUGUCCAGUCCUAAACGUCACACUAUUCCAACACACUAUUUCCCCAUUUAAUACCGUAAAGCUGCUCUGACACUAUCUGCAUUGUAAAAAGCACUCGACUCACACUGUUCCAAACCGUUAUGAUUCGCAGGUGCUGUCCAUCAUCCUGCACCUCAUCUGUCUGCUGGAGAAAGUGCCGUGCACCGUGGAGCAGGACCACUUCAAGAAAGAGACCAUCUACAAGUUCCUGAAGCUGCAGGCCUGCGGGAAGAACGGCUUCAGUCCGCUGCACCUGGCGGUGGACAGGAACACCACCUGCGUGGGCCGCUACCCCGUCUGCAAGUUCCCCUCCUUCCAGGUGGCUUCUAUCCUGCUGUAGUGCGGCGCAGACGUGAACUGCCGCGACGAGGACGACAACAGCCCUCUGCAUGUGGCUGCGUCCAACAACCACCCCGACAUCAUGAACCUGCUGAUCUCCUGCGGCACGCACUUCGACAGCACCAACUCCCUCAAGCAGACGGCCUGCGACCUGCUGGACCAGAAGGAGCUGGCCAAGAACCUGAUCCAGCCCAUCAACCACACCACGCUGCAGUGUCUGGCGGCGCGCGCCAUCAUCAAACACGGCCUGGCGUACCGCGGGAACAUCCCCGAGCGGCUGGAGGCCUUCGUGCUGCUGCACAGAUAGUGCUUCGCUCGGAGCCCUGCUGCGUUUCUUCAUCGCCUUUGCUUUCUCUAUGCAGAGACGGUCGGAGCGGCUGUAAUAUGGGACUGUUCUGUGUUACUGGAUUGUGCCACGUGUUCAUGCGACUGCCUGUUUUUGGUCAUCUUUUCCUCUCUGUCUCCUGAUCCGAUGGAGGAACGGCCUGCUCGAGGAAACGCGUCUCUGUUGAAUGUUUAAUCUUUGAACCCAAACCAACCUCCCAAUUGUUAUCGCACCGCACGUGCUGGCGUUUCGCGGUUUAAACCAGCGGCCACAUUACCAGCUCUGCUUGAAGUCUGAGUUUGUGAUGAUGAUGAUGAUGAUGAUGGAAUCUUCAGCUCUGUGUAGUUUAAGUUCAGCUUCAGAUACUUUUGUGCGGUUUGAACUCAAGGGCUUUCGAUUCUCUUACAGGCACAAUACACUAGUAAAUAAAACAAAUGUACAGUCAAAGGACUUGCACUUUAUUGCAGUGAAAUUUGAUAUUCAUAUUACGAUAGCAUAAAGCUUGUUGAUGUCCUUAGAACAUAAUUGACAAUAAACCUCUGUUGCACUUGAGUGUUUGUGUUUUUUUUCAGGUGUGAAGGGGA
RNAcentral lists this long non-coding RNA (1329 nucleotides) under Sinocyclocheilus anshuiensis. RNAcentral describes it as "lncRNA (ENSSANG00000013448.1)". The record is from RNAcentral. Lineage: Eukaryota; Metazoa; Chordata; Actinopteri; Cypriniformes; Cyprinidae.